This 79-nucleotide small nucleolar RNA is filed under the name Nicotiana sylvestris (wood tobacco). RNAcentral describes it as "Small nucleolar RNA U61". It matches the Rfam family "Small nucleolar RNA U61". RNAcentral also lists the same sequence under 1 other name. Lineage: Eukaryota; Viridiplantae; Streptophyta; Magnoliopsida; Solanales; Solanaceae. The record is from Rfam by way of RNAcentral.
CCUCUGUGAUGAAAAUUUCUUGUGUCGGAAACUUUCGAUCUGUGAUGGUUUACACAAUCCUCUAAGAAGUUCUGAGCAC